Molecule: long non-coding RNA, 24242 nt
Filed under: Coffea arabica (coffee)
Lineage: Eukaryota; Viridiplantae; Streptophyta; Magnoliopsida; Gentianales; Rubiaceae
Description: long non-coding RNA (CARA_LNC008285)
Source: RNAcentral
UUUUUUUUUUUUUUUUUUUUUGGGCAGGAAAUGAAACUGAUCUCACAUAGUAGUUCAAUUUGCCUUUUUCUCUGAAACCUUCCCUAGGCAGUGUACAUCUUGUAUGCCCUGCUUCCCUUUUAGCCAUAUGAAUAUCAUAAAGUGUAAAAGAUGAAAAUGCUUUAAAUUGAUGAUACAUAUUUCGAUCAAUAAUAAGAAAACCUACAUUAUAAAUGUCUUUUCUUAUCCUACAUCUUUUAGGAAAAGAAAUAUCUUUUUAUUGCUCAUGCAAGUGGAUCAAACAAAUUACCGCUGGAGGUGCAUUUCAUAGAAGAGUGAUGCCAUUUCUAACUCUAUUUUCUUCUUUGGCACUUAACACCAACUCCAACCGGGAUUUCAGUUACACUGGUGGCACUGCCCUACAACUAAUUCCCAUUGUCAGGGUUCUGGUUCAUGUUCUUCGACAAAUCCUGUUGUCAUUUCCCACUUUAAGUUGUUCUAUAUGUAUGAUCCUUGCAUGCGACUUUUCACCUUUACCUGGGUUUGAAUUUCACUACGACAGCAAAUCUUUAUAAAUUGGAUCGACUGUAUCCCGUCACUAAUCUUAGGGUUUCUAGUUUCUCAUCUCUUCUCUCUCUGUUUGCUUGUAGCGUUCUCCAUUAACUUAUCCUUCUUCCUCAUUCAUUCCCCUCCCCCCCCCCGGCGGGCCCUGUGGGCAAAAUUUAGUAGUUCUUAGCUCCUCAGGGACUGGGCAUCGCCCCAAAACUUGGAGUGUUAAUGGGGUGUAAGCUUGCUGGAACUCGUGCCUCCACCAAAGCCUCAAUGUAAGUCAGCCUCGCCUUGCACUGGGGCGCACCCUCAGACAUCUCCCAUAAUUGCCUUUGAGAACAGUCAUUGGUGCCUGAUUUUGACUUGUUGAGUUUUCCUGUUUAAGCAUAUUAGAUGCUCAGGUACGCUGGGGUAUGCAGUUUUUAGUAACUAGCCUUAGAAUUUUCCUGGGUAUCAUUUGGAAUCUAAGGCUUCCUUAAUCCGUUUCUGCUGAUGUUCCUCUCAAAGCUGUUGCGCAUGUUAACAUUGCCUCAUGUCAGUCCAGUAUGGUAUGCUUCCCUGUAUGGAAAUCUUACACUGCCUACCCCUAAGUUUGUUCAUCUUGCCGUCUGGUAGGCACCAAGAUUAAGGGCAAAUACAUCUCAUCUUUCUGGCUUUUGGCUAGUUCCUUUCCUCCUUUAUGUGCAUUGUAUGAAGAGAAUAGCAAUAGAUAGAAAACUUAAAGCAAAGACACAAGCAUAACGAUAUGGCAUGCAAAAGCAACGGUUUUUACUUGUAAGUUUUUUUUUUCCUUCCAGCGUUUUUUGGAAAGUCGAAAUGUCAAGUUCAACUUUCCCACUCACUGGGAUAUGGAAUAGUAGCCUAUCUAGCCUUUGGCUAGUGAGGGCUUGUAGGAGAAUUUGACUUCUAGGCAUAGAAUUUUUUAAAAACUAUUAAUUUUAUCCUACUAAUUUGUCAACAUGCCACCACUGACCGGAGGAAAAUGUAGGUAGAAGAAGAUUCAUUUUUUACCCCAUAAUCGGUAAAAAUUCAAUAUUAAAUCAGUGUCUAUGAGUAAUUUCCAUACAAUAUUUAUUAAAAGAAACAAGUGAUAGAUUUUAUGCAUCAUUAAUGAUGACUAUAAGUACAAGUCCAAUUAUUUUAGCGUUUUAAUCUACUAGUUAGUUUUUUUAUAUGCAAUAGUUUGUACUUCGGUGAGUUGUAGAGUAUUAGUGGGUUAUUCGCAUCCUCUUGAAUUGUGUAUUAAUUACUUGCUAUUGCUUACUACGUGUUAAUUAUUGUCACAUACUAUCUAGAGAACUAAAAGAACUUUAUUUUGGCACACUGAACAGUUUUUCUGGCUCUGUCAAUUAUACGGAACUAAAGUAUUUACCAUUUUCCUUGUGCAUGAUGCCAUUCGAGUAGCUAACAUCAGAUUUGUAACCUAGAGGUUUGUUACAGUUUCAGCAUUGCUAAAUGUCCUUUAUAUCUCAGAUAAGAAAAUUGCACCAAAGGCCGCAAAUGAUGUGAAAUUAAUAAGUGCUGGCAAAAUUUUGGAAAACAACAGGACUGUUGGCCAGUGCAAGAUGCCUUUUGGGGAGUUGCCGAAAGGUGUAAUCACAAUGCAUGCUGUUGUGCAGCCAUCUUUAGCUAAAGCAAAGACAGGUUAGUCAAUUUUAUCCGAUUUGUACCUCCAUGCAGUACAAAUUUUGUGCUUCCAAUCUCUGGGUGUUAUUCCAUUGGGUAUCCAAUCGUGAUUUGUGCACACCAAAACUUCACUUCUUAAAAUUAGUAUGUCUAACCUUUUUUUACUGUAGCUUUGUUUUAGCUGAAGACUAGAGAAAUAAAAAUGGUGUAAUUUAUUGUUGUCACAAGUAAUUCUUUGUUCCAGUGUUUGAAGUAGGUUUGUCACGGGAUGUGGCCCAAGAGUGUCUCCGUGGUACUUGAGAUAGCUCAAAUUGUAAUAAAACGCUGGUAAUGUAUGGUUUUCUUUCAGUCUGCCCAUCCUACAUGCAGUUUGGGCUAUAGCUUCUUAGAUCGUACUAAUAGAGAUGAAUUGCUAGUGUAUUGGACAAAUUUACGGCAGUGGACCUGAAAAGAAUUCGUGAAUCACCCUUCUUGUAUAUCAACCUCCUCCCCCUCCCUCUCCAUGUACUUACUUUCUAUAGCCUCCCUGCCCCCACUCACGUUGUAAAGGAACAUUGUGAAAUGGCUAGAAUUUCAGGAUCAUAGUUCAAUAAAACAGGAAUCUCAGAAACGAUUGCUAUAGCGCACUGGACAAACUUACAUGAGUAGACCUGAAAGACUUUCAGAAUCACCUUUCCUGCUUUACUUUGAUCAUUUGUAUGUCAACCUCCUCCCCCUCCCUCUCACAUGUGCUUUCUGUCUGUUGCCUCCCCACCACCACUUGCGUUGGAAAGGAACAUUAGUGAAAUGGCUAUAAUUCAGGAUCAUGGUCCAAUAAAACUAGAACCAACUGUUUUACUAUUUGGAAGUAUUGCUGCAUAAUUUAAAAAUGUUUCUAAGACCUGGAUUUUGCAAUUUUAGUAGGAAUGGUGGGAAUGAUUGGGUUGCAACCACUGAAGGUUAUGAUGUUUUUAUAUUUGUUGCAUCACCCUAGCGGCAGCAUGGAAAUGCUAUUUGUGAUCAAGAACAUUCAAGGACUAAGUCAGUCAUUCAUAAAUCUCAAGUCAACCGCACAAAUGGAACUACCAUUGUAUCUGUACAAAACAACUUGCAUCUUUGCUUGAGUAGUAUUUGUGCCAUUUAACUGGAAACGACAGAUCUGAGGUUGAGAGUCCUAUGACUGAUUGGAGUGUAUUGUGGUGGUGCGUACUGUAAGGCUAUGAAAGUAGGCACGAGAGGGAGGGUUUGGUUUUGCUUAUUGUUUUUCCCUCCUUUAAUUUCUGUUUAAGAGAAAGUUUGCUAAAGUUAUCAAUCGACUUCCGUAAAAGAGAAGUACUUCCUGGUCUUUGGACUUUAUCCAAAUAUAUCUGAUGGAUAACUAAAUAUAAGAUUUGGAGGCGAAGUUUCAACUCCACUAUUACUCCACAGGGUUGUUUUUAGGAAAAAUUACUAAUUAUUGGAUACUAAAUUUAUGAACUUUGUAAAGCAGAAAGGAGCUUGUUCAUUAAACACUUUAACAAUUACUGGAGACUAUUGCUUAAAACGUCUGGAAUCUUAGAGAUUUCGCGCCAGAGUAACAAUUGUAGUAAUUCCAGUGAUGAUGAGGAAAGAUAACAACAUAUAAUCAACAGACAACUUGAGUAUAUCCAAUAUCCUUUUUGCGGGCAGGGGGGGGGGGGUGUUGGGUGGGGAAUAAAGAAUUUGUAAUGUUAAUUUUAGUCGGGCAAGAUCAUUCCUUCCUCUUCGCGUUCUUCCUCAUUUUCACGUGAUGUUCAAUCUCCUUUUCUUCUCUCUGUUUGAAUGACUGCUGAAGGGUAAUUUGUGUGUGUCUAGCAGAAAAGAAGGUUGAGGAGGCUCCAAAGAAAGGCAUCUGUGCGUGUUCAAUAAUGUGAGGUGAAUCUCUUGGGAUCUUUGCGUUUACCUGGUUGUGGAAUUUGUAGUCAGAGAAAACAAUAGUAAUUUGUAAACUGUGUUCACCGCAUUGUUUGGUGUUGCCAUGUUGUUAUGAUGUACGUGUGUUACAUAUGGUACAUUUGUAUUGUGGUAUUUCGUGUACAUUUGUAGCUGCAGAGUUACAGUUUACUAUACAUGAUGAAUACAGGCCAUGUAUGUGGCUGAAGCGAAUACCCUGGAAAAAAGGGCUUUUUUUUGGGGGGGGGGGGGGGGGGAAUACAGGCCAUAUGUGUGUGUGUGUGUGAGUUUACAUCAGCUUCUGUUCUUAGUUCUUACUACUACACGACAAGUCCAACGAGCAAUAUCUCGUCGUGUGGAAGUCCAUUCCUAGGGUCCUUGAUAGGACAGGGUUCCGUUGAUUCCAUUUCAAUGGCGCAUCAAUUGAAUACUACUUGAGGAGAAUUGCCGUUUGAUGAUUCUGUCUUCGUUCCAGACUCAGUCUCGGUACUGUUAUUGUUCUGCGUUUCCGAAGUUAUCAAUGAUAGUUAACAAUAAUGUCACAUAUGAUUGAUCCGAAUUCCCAAAGUUGUCAAUUACUAUAAACACUGGAGGCUCUUUUUAUUCUUUUACUGUAUAACAGAUGUUAGCUCAAACUGAAGAUCAGAACAAGAAUUGCCCUGGCUUGAAAGGAAAGAUUGGGGGCUGGAGAUGGUAGGACUAGGUCUUUUUUCUCUCUUAGUGCUUGCAUACAAGCGAAUUAAGACUAUGAGGAGGACUAGCACUUAAAAUGUAGUAAUGCAGUAGUUACGACCCUUUUCUCGCCGGUGCUCUUCUUCGACAUGACCCAAGGGUAUGAAGAAUCUGAGAUACAAAGACCCAAAAAAAAAAGAAAAGAAAGAUAGGAACGCGACGUAAGAAGGAACAAAGAUGACUAGAAUAGAACAGAGCAAUGCAGAAGCACCGCCAUGAUGAGGAGGAUGAUUCUUACUAGCACCGCCAUGCAGAAGCAGCGACAAUGGCUCUGUCCUGCCAUCCCAACAGCAAGCAACCCUUGUCCUCCGUCAACCUAUACCCCUCGCACGAAUACAACCCUAACAAUAUUUUCGACUGAGUCACCGCGUUCGCGCUCAGCCCCACCCCUCUGUACCCCUUCCCUUCCAUUAUCUUCCUCCAUUUCUCCAACCUCUCGUGCCUCCUUACCCUCUCCCGCCCCUCCUCCGCUACAAUGUUCCUUAUCUCCGGUGCAAAUAUGUACUGCUCCACCUUCGCCCUCUGAGCCGACUCCGCCGGAAAUGUUGCAUCCAGGGAGUCGAAUAUCGCCGAGUAGUAAUGCAGCGCCUCCAGGAAUCUGCCCAAGAAGUAGGGCCCGUUGUGGCUCGCCUCUUGCUCCACGAUGGUCACUAUGUUCGGCGCUUGGUCCCUGAUCAUGCCCAACAGAUUCCCCAAACUGUUCCCUGGGACCCAGUGCAACCGGUUCACCGAGUUCACCGCCAGAGCCUCACCCACCCUCCUGUUCAACAUGUGCGGCUUCAGGUCCUCCAGCUGCUCUCCCACUGGGUGGAACUCGAAUGGGAUGUGGAGGGAGUGGGCCAGCUCAGUCAAACAUCGCCCCGUUUCCCUCACCGCCUCCGGGUAGGGUCCGACUCCGGUUAUCCGAAGGAACGGUGCUCCUCCGGGUCUCGCUGCCAGCGCUUGCAUGAAAGCCGCCACUGGUAACCUUGAAGGAUGUCUAGAUCGAUCACAUGCACUCGCUCUUCGGCUUCAAAGGCCUCGAAGAUGGCUUGGUUGGCCGUGAAAUGAGCAAAUUUGAUGUAAGGGCAGGCUUGGUAGAGGAUCUGGUAGAUCUUGAGGAUUUCCAGCGAGUUUGGGGGGAAAGGGUUAAAGGGCCUGGAGGCGGCAGUAGUAGGUUUGGCCGUGAGGGUUGCUGCGAGUCUUGCUCCCAAGGCUUCCGCGAAGCACGAGGCAACCCGUUGCAUGGAAUCUCCAAGGGGAGUCACCACCCGGUUGAGGUGGUGAAGAUACCUCCUGGCUAACAUGUAGUCUUCUUUGGCGACUGCUUCGGCGCAGGCAAGCAGAAGGUGCACCAAACGGAGUCCGCUAUCCUGUUCCUGUACCAGUACCAACAAGUCAAACAACAGCAGCAGAGUCACGUACAUGCAUCUAUAUAUAUAUAUACACACACACAUCAACCCGCCCGCUAGAGCUAGUUACGAUUUAUUCGAGCUCAUGUAAUUCAAAAGUAACGGAUUCUCUCAAUUACCUGUUCUGGUCCGAUUGAAAGAGGCUGCACCAUCAGGCUGGAAUUCAAGUUCAUCUCUACUGGCGGGGGGUUGGUGGUUCGGUCGAUGAGAUAUUGAUCCUAGCUGCUGUUGCUUUUCUUGCUGCCUUUCCUGUUGCAAUUGCUGGAGUAACGGGGCGGACUCGCCGGAGCUGCUGAAUUGAUAAAUACUACUAGUAGUGGUACUAGUGUCAUUAUCUUCAGUAUCGGCCAUGGAUGCACAAAAUCUUGAGCUGGCAGCAGGAUUUGGCAUUGUCAAGCACUCCAAUAGUUCUGGGACCGAGGAUAAAUCAAAACAGUCGGAGGAACUAAUUCCAGCAAUAUCUGGACCUUUACAGCUGUUUGAGUAGGAACCCCCAAAAUCAUCAUCAUCCUUGUCCAGGUCGUCCAAGAACUCAAGAGCUGGCAAGGAGAGGCUCUCCACCUGCAUAUACUCGUGGUUUGGAGAAUUGAGAACCCUGUGGAGUGGGCUCAGACCUUUACCUUUAUCUCUAUUAUAAGGUCCCAGUGGGGAUGACAUGCGGGGCGGAGAGGGAGAGCACACCAUCAGACUCAGCCCAUGCAUAGCCUGAGCCUGCGCGUGGCUGAAAUUGUAGCUGCUGCUGUUGUUGUUAAUAAUAUCAUGAGUAGUAGUAGUAUUUUGGUAGCCUGAAGCUGCUUGGGGAGCGGGAGAGGAGGAGGGUGCAAUCCUAACUGGGGAAGAGAUCAUAAAAUCCCCCUCCAAUUGAUCUGCAAAGAACUCCCACAAGCAACGGUCAGGGGAUUGAAUCUCAACGUCCUGGUCCGGCUGGAGUUUGAGAGCCGGGAAUUUGAGGCUAGGUGGAACCAGGCUGGUACCAGAUGCGUGAUCGUAUUGGGAGGAAGGAGGGGUAGGUGUCUUUCUUGAUUCUGAAACAGCUGAUUCAUUUGGAGAAGAGGGUCGCAAUUUAGUAGCACAGGAGUUGUCUGAUCUGCUUACUAGACCUUCCAUUAUGGUCGGAUCAGCGGUCUCCUUCUUGAAACUCCCAGCGUCGCAAGUCCGGAGGUUCCCCACCUCACUCUUCAAACUCUCCAUGCUCCCGCACAGAGAAUUUAUCAUUCUUCGCUAGCUGGCCCCCUCCAGUCCAGGCGGGCUCCAACUAUUGGUGGAUGUUAUUACUACUUACAAGGAGGAGGCGGAGGAGGAGGAGGAGGCGGAAGUAGUAGUAUAUGUUUUAUCAGACCAAUUAGUUCAAAGCAGGUGUUUUCCAAUUAAUCUGGUAGGAUUAUUACAGAGCGCUCCCCCUCUCUUAAGCACGAUUCUGGUUGCAGGUAAUAAUUUGCCCACGUACGCACGCAUCAGUCGGUCUGCGUAGGGGCGUUGGUUUUGAAUUUGGAUGGCGAACAAAUAGAGGCAGAGCAGAGAGUUUGGUGUCUCUCUUUCUUUUUAUCGCCCCACGUUUUGGCAUAUUGUCCAGAUUGUAUCGCAAGAAAUUGAAGGUUAAAAAUAGAAAUGUCAAGACAAAAAACUGCAGUUUUAAUUUCAAGUGCUUGGAAGUUACUUGGUGAUGAUGAUGAGCUCCCGCAACGGUUGUUUUCCAGGCGAGACAGUAGUAGUUUUUAUGUACUCGUAUUUCUUUCUUUCUUUCUCUACAGGGAAAAAUGGGCAUUCUAAAAAAGAGAGAGAGGAAAAUACCGCCCGCAACUCACAAAGCUACCUACGUAUUUAACUUUCGCCAUCAACUAUUCAAUCGCGCAAAACAAACCUGUCGGCCGUGGUCCGUCUACGGUUGGGACUUUUUUUUUUUUUUUUUAUGUAUAAACAAAAGCUAUAAUGGUACUUUACUAACAGAUUUUAGCAUUCGGCAUUCUCUUUUUUUUUUUUUUGUUGCAGUGGUAAAAUUUCUAUAAUUUAAUUUAACAUAAUCUAUUUAUUUAUUUAUUUAUUUUUGGGUUAAAAGAUGUAGCAGCGAAUUCGAAGAUGUUAUCACAAAUUAACCAACCAGUACCGUGUUCAUUAACCACAACCGCCCCUUAAAAAUUUUUUAAAAUUUAUUUAAUACGCCACCCAAUACACAGAGAUGAGAUCCUAUUUUUACUUUAAAGAAAAAUGUGAAAGCUGAUACAGCCCUAGCUGAGGCUAGAGACAAUUUGGUGUGAAAUGGGUCCCACUCUCCUUGGGCCGGCCCAUCCAAGAACAAGGUUUCGGGGAUCGAAAAUUUGGUGAUUGGUCGAAGGGGAAUGAUUGGGAAAGGCAGGUCCCGUGCGGAUGGAGAUAUUCCAUCAGUCAUCAUACAUAAUUUAAUGACCAAGAUGAACCUUAACGUAUAUUAUUAUUAUAAAAAAAUUGCGAGGCUACCUUCUUCGGUUUCGCAAUGUCUGCGGGAGGAGAUUUUUGCGGUUAAAAAUUUUGAAAACAAAACACAAAUGGCCCUUCCUUUCAUUGAAUUUGUGUCGUUUUCAGCUCUCACUUGAAUAAGAUUUUACCUAGGGGUGACAAUUGGGGGUGAAAAUUGGCUUCUUUAUCGUAUUCGUAUAGAAAAAUUUCAAUUCUUAUACACCUCAUUAAGUGUUCAUGUCAAAAAAUUUCAAUUCUGAUCCAACUCAUUCAACGUUCCUGUGUUGGCAAAAGUGUUUGCUGACACUAGCCGACUACGGAGAUGGUGGUGGAUUGAGAUAGGGGAAGUAAGAAGAAGAAAUGAAUGAUGGUAAUUGUUUUUGUAUAUUUUUUAGUAUUUUAAAGUGUAUAUUUUAAAAAUUUUAAGAAAUUUUUUGAGAUUAUAGUAAUUAAAACUGUUAAAAAAUUUGUAAGAGAAGCAUUCGGUAAAAAAACUCUUUUUCCAAACAGAUCCAUAACCACUCUUUCAAUUAAAAAUAAAAUAUCAUAUUUGUCAUUCAAUAUAAUUUAAAAACAUAAAAAGGAUAGGCACUUUAAUAAAAGACCAACAUUAGUGGUACUUCCCUUCCAAAACUCCCAAACAAGGGAUAAUUUCAGAAACCUUCCUUGAAAUUUUUGACUAUUUUACUGGCCUUCUUUCAAAUUUUAAAAAUUACUCUAAUUUCCUUUGAGAUUAAUUACAUUGUAACAUUUAGACCCAAUCGAUAAUUAAAAAGUGAUAUUAGAAGAGAGAAGAUAAUAUAAUUUCAUCAUUAUCCCUCAUCUAUUACAUUAUUUAAUUAAUUUAAUCGUAAUCCAUACAUUAAAAAAUGUACUAAAUUUUGAUGUUUAUCAUUAGGGAUCAAAUCAUAUAUAGUAUCAAAAAAGUAGUAUAUCUUUUUUUAUUUUUCACUUAAUACAAUAUCCAAAUUACACUUUUCAAUUACAUACUCAUUAUCAAACAUAAUCAACAAUAAAUAAUCAAAAAAUUUGCAACCAAAAUAUUGCAGAGAGCAAAUUUUAACAUCAUAAAUAUUCUUGUGUAGUUGUUGAAAUUUUUAUGGUAUUAAACUUCACAUUUUGUAAUAUUUUAGUUACAGAUUUUUUUAUUAUUAUUUGUAGUUGAUUAUGUUUGAUAAUGACUUUCUCACUAAGAAGAGCAAUUUAUAUCUUAUAUUAAUUAAAAUAUACAGAAUGAUAUACUAUUUUUGAUGUCAUAUGUGAUUUAAUCUCUAAUGAUAAACAUCAAAUUCUAUUAUUUUUUUAUUAAUGCUUGGACGGGUAUUAGAUUAAUUAAAUAAUUUAGUAAAUCAAGAACAACAAUGAAAUCAUAUUAUUUUCUCUCUUUUAUAUUAUUUUUUAAUUGUUGGUUGGAGGUAUAUAUCACAAGAUAAUAAAUCUCAAGAGAGAUUAGUGUAUUUUUUUAAAAUCUAAAGGGAGCCCAGUGGAAUAGUUAGAAACUUUAGGGACGUUUAUGAAAUUAUCCCCAAGCAACUAGGGUUUCUCUGCACUUCCAUUCUCUGCUUUUCUUUUUUAAUUUAACCUUUCUCAUCUUUUCUUUUCUAUCCUAAACUCCCAAACUAAGCCCUAGGGUUUUUGACGUCGCGCCGUCGUUUCUCCAAACCCCUCAGGCAACGAAAUGGUAAGGCGGCUCUUCACCACCAAGUUAUUUCUGUCUUCUCGAUGAUGAUUGUUGCUGAUACACAUAUAUGCAGAUGCUGCAUUCUAAUUUCCAAUCUUUCGUUUGGUUUUGAAAAAACCGACAACUCUCUGACAUUUUGAUUCCUUUGUGUUGUCAUUGAUGGAUGAUUUUUUUGUUUUGAAGGCUCCAAAGAGAGGUGCGAGGGCUCCAGCUGCAGUGGCGAGGAGGAAAACCGAGAAGGUGGCGAAUCCUCUGUUCGAGAAGCGUCCGAAGCAGUUCGGAAUUGGAGGAGCCCUCCCACCGAAGAAGGAUCUCACCAGGUUCGUCAAAUGGCCUCUCAACGUCCGGAUCCAGAGGAAGAAGAGGAUCCUCAGGCAGCGCUUGAAGGUUCCUCCGGCGCUCAACCAGUUCUCCAAGACUCUCGACAAAAAUCUUGGUCACCUCUCCCUCACUCGCUUUUUAUUUAUUAUGUUGUUUCCCUUUUUUCUUAAUGUUAUAAUAUGAUUUUUAUCGGGACUCUGAGUUCUUCACCUUGAUUGCACCAUCUUGACAACCCUGGUCUGGUAUUUUACUGCUAUAAAGAAAAAUCCAGUUAUUUUCUUGACAUAAAUCUGUGCUCUCUCGCAUAUUGAUCACCUAUUGCAUUUGUAAUCCUACUUCAAAUGCUUACUCAUUCUUAUUCUCCCCCCCCCCCGGGCGGAUGAUUGCGUAGAAUAGGAUCCCAUGGUUGAGCAGGGCAAACGGUGUUGCUGUGACUAAAUAGGAAAUGAAAUCUUUACGUAAAUUUAAAAAUCAUUCUUUUAUGGUUCUUAUCCAACUCGAUAUGCCAGAUGUGGUAAAUAGAAAGAAAUUGAGGUUGCUCGGAGCAUAAUAUUUGUACAUGGUAACUGUAGUUUGUUUUCCCCUAUAAUCUCUUGGAUUACUAGAAACUGAGUCGUAAUGUUUUGCUCUAUCUGUUGUCAUGAAAUUGGUAAAAGCUAAUAAUUUGCUGUGGUAGAUUUGAGGGAGUCUCUAAUUUUGUCCCUAUUUUAUUAAUACCAGUCAAGGAGAUAUCUUGUUUCCUUUCGGGGUUGCCAUUUCACUGCUUCGUUUUUUCUCUUGCCAAUGUAUGUAUUUUCUGAUGCUUCCUUUGAUAUGCAGCAACAAAUCUGUUCAAGAUGCUUCUCAAGUACAGGCCUGAGGACAAGGCAGCCAAAAAAGAGCGUCUUCUCAAGAGAGCUCAAGCUGAGGCUGAAGGGAAAGCUUCUGAUGCUAAGAAGCCAAUUGUUGUCAAAUACGGUUUAAAGCAUGUGACGUACCUUGUUGAGCAGGUCUUUAUCCUACUUUUCUUCUAUACUCUGUUGGUUUUCUGUAGUGUCUCACUCUUGGUAGUGCAAGCUGUGGCUCAUAGAAAUUAUUUUCUGCAGAACAAGGCACAAUUGGUGGUUAUUGCUCACGAUGUGGACCCAAUUGAGUUGGUUGUUUGGCUUCCUGCUUUGUGCAGAAAGAUGGAAAUUCCCUAUUGUAUUGUGAAGGGAAAAUCGCGAUUGGGAGCGGUAAGUUUCCCUCUUUGUGGAGCCUUUUUGGAAGCUUUUAUUGUAGCCAGGACUGAUGUAAUUCACACUCUCUCGCAGAUUGUUCAUAAGAAAACUGCAUCAGUCUUGUGCCUGACCUCAGUGAAGAAUGAAGAUAAGUUGGAGUUCUCGAAAAUUUUGGAGGCCAUUAAGGUGAUGCAUAAUUUCGUAGGGGUUGUACAAGUAAUGAUAUUUCCUUGCCUUAAAAACUCAUCUGACAUUAUGAUUUCUCCUGACAGGCUAACUUCAACGAUAAGUAUGAGGAGUACAGGAAAAAGUGGGGUGGUGGAGUCAUGGGGUCCAAAUCUCAAGCAAAAACCAAGGCGAAGGAGAAGCUUCUUCAAAAGGAAGCCGCUCAGAGGAUGUCUUAGAAAGAGCGAUUUUCCUCCUUGUCCUGAUUUUUAUUUGCGGCUUUAGAUUUUUUGCUUCUGACAUACAUAUGUAUUUUUGGUAGACAUUUAUUUGGCAUGUUUGAUUAUCAAAACUUCGUGCAAUAGUUAAAUUUUGUGUUGACUGCUUGCUUUAUGAAUGGUAGUUGUUUCCUUGAGUUGUGGCUAAUGGUAUCGGAGAACCAUAAAUGAUGUUGGCCGAGUUUAUAAUUGGCAUUGAGCGCGGUUUGGUUGGUCAUAUUUGGGCCGCUUGACUGGUGAGAAAGAACUGUGUGUUAAGGACCUGCGGACUAGUUUGAGAGUUUAGGAAGGGAAAGAGAAAGAAGGCAAAACUUUUAAUGGGGAGAGAGGGGAAGAGAGUAUCUCUCUUAAGUUGUUUGGGAGUAUUGGCUGGAAAAUGUCAUAAUGUUGGACCUUUGCUCAUGUUCCAUUCUCGUUGUCUGUUUGAAUUAUAUGUCAGGGACAAAUAUGAGGUUUAAUAGUUCCCUUAUUUAAGUGUUCAUUCCACCUCUUCCCGCUAAUGGGAGGGGAAAAAAGUGGGAGUGGGUAGGCUUAAGAAUUCUUCCACUUCUCUUGGGAAAUGUUUAUUUAUUUAGUUUGGGAGAAUGAAUGUUUAUUUUUCCCUUUGAAAUAUAAACAUUUUCAUUAAAACAUUUAGUACCCAAUAAGCCAAUUGAUUUUUUUAUGAGGCUGAAAAUGCCAAAUGGGCAUUGAGGUCGUGGAUCUCCCUGUAAAGAUGAAUCAGGGAGAUCUGUCUGGUCUUGAGAGGCUGGUCAGCAUGCAGCUUAUUUGGUUGCUUAGAUGGAUAUUCUUCUUAAAUUGAGAAGAAAGAAUCACGAUCAGGAAUUGGGUAUGUCUACUACCGCCGGCUGCUCUGAUAUCAAGAUUCCCUGUUGCAACUAGUCUUCCGUUCUUGCCUGUCACUGAACUGAAUUUCGCAAGAUCGUGUCGUCCUCUCUGCUAUGUUUAGUGAAUUUAAUUGUUUGUCAAUAAUCGCCCUAAGGUCAAUGCGGGUGGAGACUGCUGAUGCUACUAUACCACCAAGGAUAUGCUCUAGCUUGCAAAAUGGAUCAACUUAGGACCCUCUUAGGGUUGAAAUCACAUGUUACAAAGUAAUACAUAGGCUACUAAGGAAGUUAAAUCCCAUUUUCACAGUUUGUAAAGCUUAGAUUACGCAGAAAGAGUUGAUUAAUACGAGAUCCUCGUAUUACCCUUUGUGCGGAGAUAUAGAUCAUGCUCAAUCUCUCUAGUUGGCUCAGCAUGAUGGUUUUAAAAAAUAAGAGAUUAAGCAGGGGACACAGCCAAAAGUUUUAGCCUCAGUUUCAGCACUGAUCAUUGUGCAUAUUUACAUGACAACAGUGAGACAUAUAUAAUACACGUCAAUAAUGAGAUUAAAAAUAGUGAGAUACACAUAUAUACAAACCUACUCAGCUAUUACAGAUUAAACAAUUUACGUUUCAUUUUAUUCUUCACAAAAUCUAGAGCUACUUGGAUACAAGCCAAAUUAAAUGCCAGUUCUCGCUUUUCUUUCUGCUUGGCCUGGUGCUGGUUGGAAAAAAAAAAAAAAGGAAUAAAUGGCAGAGAUAACUCUUUAGGUAUUCGACAGCAGUACUUCCCCUGACCGCGAGAGGACGAUGUAUUAUCCUGAAGGAGGAUAAACAUUGGAUCAUUGUCAGAAAGACUAAGCUUGUUUUGAACUGUCUUGUUUACUUUUAACUGGUUUUAGCUGAUUUUAAGCUAAACAAAGUCAAUCAAGGUAAGGCAGCCUUUUUCCAACAAUGGCUUCUCUUUGAGUAGCUUAGAAAGGUUUGAGCAGAUUAGGACAGGCCCUAAAAGCAUUAAGACUUAAACUGGUGAUUGCCACAUGUAUUCCAAUUUUACCACCUCAAGAAAAAGCCCACUUCAGCCCUUGCUACCGCAAUGAUCAAAGAGUUUUGACAAAGCAACAACUGUUUUAGCAAGGACUAGGUACCUCGAGUGCCAUGGUGCUUGAGGUUCUCAUUUUCCUUGGUUUGAAAUUCUUGCCAACAGCAGAAAACAGUGAAAAAGGGGGAAAAAAAUCUCACACUAUGCAAAGCCAAGAUAAGCGUACAAGCCAAAAGAAGAUCCACCUACAUAGGCUACAUUCCCUGGACAAGCCGCCAAAAGACUUUCACGCGGCAAUUUCUUCAAGAACUACUAAACAGAUCUCAUUCUCAGUCAAUUGAACUACUAACGGUUGCGGAUUUCACAAGUUGGAAAUACCGUCAGUCGAUGAAUUGAAUGUGCAAGAGAAAAGGCGGUGAGGAAUUGGUACAGGGCCAGUUUAGCUUCGAGUAGGUCCUCGGCUUGUAAUAUCCCUGGUUCCAGAACCACAUCCGACGGGAUAGAAAUCAAAUCAAGGGCAAGCAAAUACGUCCACCUACAGCCUUAACGCUUUGAAUUAUGGACCCUCUUCGAGAAACAUUGCCUUGUGCGAGAAUUAAUUACGUAGUAACUAGUUGAUAACCCUUCUCAUCUUAAUUUUACUAGUCAUUUUACUCUUGUUACUGCCAUUGGCUGCUGCCUUUUUGCCCCAUUCUUUGUCGCCAAUCUAGCAACUGCAGUCUACAGCCAAAAUGCAGUUUCUGUGAUAACCCUAAUUUGCAGCAUUUCUGCUAGAGAUACAAAAAAUACGAUUUACGUAACUUUUUUAUCCUUUUUUUUUUGCUGUACUAUGCUUUUAAUACCAUUUCAGUAGUUACGUAUUUGCCGCUGAAAAAGGAUUAUUUCCUCUUAGGUAAAGUUUAUCUUUUUGCUGUUUGGAUUGCAAAUUUAUCUCAAAUAAUAUUUCGCUUGUAUCAUAAACACAUCUCACAAUCCACCUUUUUAUAUUCUCAACUACUUUUUAUCUCACAUACAUCACAUCACAAAAAGUGCUACAGUAAUUAUUCCAAAUAAUAUUUCAAAUAAUACUCUAUCCAAACACAUGUAUACAUUUAGUAAGUGCUUCAACAUCUAAAUACGAUUAGAUUAUAAACCUUUGUGACAUAUGCGGGGGAUCACUCAAUUAUUCAUAUCUCCAACCGUAAUAAUCACAACGAGUUGAGUUCUAACAUUAUUACUGAUUACAUUUUCCAAUCAAAGAAAUUCAGACGGCAAUUAAACAUGAGUUUCAUGUUGAUGUGUCAUAUAAGAAGGCCUGGUAUGCUCAACAACAUGCCAUUAAUAUCGUGUAUGGCUAUUUGCCCACCUCCAUAGUUAAACUUUUUAUAUAUAUACGGGAAUUAGUGACGGUAAAUCUAAGCAUGUCUGUAGUUUGGAAAUACCAUCCACAUAGUAUUAUUGGCUGCACAAUUUUUCACUUUGUGUUUUGUGCGUUUGACAGCGCCAUCCCAAUUGCUACCAAUUAAUGCAUGCAUAUAGUAUUUUUUUUUUUUUUCGAUACGAUAGCUUCCUACAUUAUGGAGAGGGGGAGGACCUGAAGAAGUUCUGGGGUAAGCCGGAGGGGACUGAACCACCAUCGGACCAGACGGGUGCAUCUGAAUUUUUUAAGCAAUGCCACAUUUAAUUGUGACAAAUUAGUGAGAGGCAAGAUUUGAAUCCUUGCCUCCCAUCCCACCAAGUUUUAAUGCAUUGGUGGUGGCCGCUUGCCCAAAGGCUAGUGGUUAAUGCAUGCAUAUAGUAUACACUUUCAAUAAUUUUAGGGUUUAUGUGAUAUUUUUAACAUUUUAAGGACACUAAGUAAAAUUAUCAAAAACCUCAAGUGAGAUUUCUAAAAUUAUCCCCAGUAUAAAAACAGGAGUUGUGGGGUUUGUGGAGCGGAUUGUGGAUUUUUGUUGGGUUGAAAAAGAGAGUGUGGGUAGCUAUUAGCUUUUUUACAUCGCCAUCUGUAUGCUGUUCCGAAUGGCUACAGGUUCUGCAAAAUUUUCCACACAGCACAUACAUUGGAGAUGCAACUGCCUUACCACUCCACAAGAUUUGGGACAAGAGGCACAUUGACGAAUGAAUUUCAUACCGAAAUAUUUUUUUUCAUGUAAAACUUCCCUAAUUUCUAUUAUUAAAAUUUCUCACUUCAAAUUUCAUGACACUCUAGGAUGAUUUUUUUUGCAUUUUUUAGUAUUUUAAAGUGUAUAUUUUAAAAUUUUUUAGAAAUUACUGUUAUUAAAGUUGUUAAAAGACUUGUAGGUUAAAACUUUGAUAAAAAAACUCCUUUGCCAAACAAGCCCAUAACCAAUCUUACAACUAAAAAUGAAAUUUCAUAUUUGCCCUUCAAAUAUAAUUUAAAAACAUAAAAAGACAAGCACUUUAGUAAAAGACCAACAGUAGUGAUGUUUCCAUUCCAAAACUCCUAAACAACGCAGUUAGGGUUUUUAAAUUUUUUAUAACAUACUCAAUCCAAUUCAAAUUAUAUGAUUAAAAUACUCAUUUUAGGAAAUAGAAAAUAAUUUCUUUCCAAUAAUGUCCUUUUAUUGCCUUAAUUUUUUUAAUUGUUCGUGUAAUAAUCAUAUGUUAAAAAUAAGGACAAAAACUAUGAAAAUGUUCUUUUUUUAAAGGAACAAUGUAUAAUAAUUGCAACCAUAAACAAUAUAUAUUUUUUUAAAUACAAACAAAUAAUAAAAUUUUAUUUAACAUGUUUUCAAAUUACAAAGUAAUUUUUUCCUUUAAGCUUUGUCUAUUUGGUACUUCACGGUCACGUAGGAAGAAAGAAACCCGAUAUUAUUCUGAUUGUUUAUUUGACAAAAAUGUAGAAUUCUUCUACAAAAGUGUUGCAAUUAAGGAGGCUAGUUAAAAUCUAAAAACUUUAGAAUUUAUCCAACCUUUAUUUAUCCAUAUGUUUAUCACAUGCCCUUAGAUUAUUAAAUGAGAAAAAUCUUUCUUUUUAUGUAACAUAUUUUGUUUGAAAUUAAUAAAAUUUAUGAACUAUUUAAAAUAUUUAAUUUUUAUUUAUUUGAAUCAAUGGCUUGAAAAUUUAGAAAAGGGGAAAAUUUUUAAAUUAUAUUAUAGAAUUUAUUUGAGAUAUUUAGAAGAUGAAAAAGUUAUUUUUUCCAUAUCUUUACAAUAUUUCAAAUAGUUUUUAAAUACUUUGUUAAUUAUUUAUUAUUUUCCAAUUUAAAAUUUUGUCUCCAAAUUAUAGAUAAGAUUUGUUAAAAAAUUUCUUAACUCUAAACAUAUAAUUUUUUUACUAAAAAACACAUCCAUCAAGUUUUCAAAUAUGAAAGGAUUUUAAAUUGAUUUGUGAUUACAACUAAGGAAUCACAUAAAAAGGCAACUUUGGAAUGAAAUAAUUUUCUCUUUCCUAAACAUGGUAUUUUAAUGAUAUAAUUUGAAUCGGGUUGAAAAUGUUACAAAAAUUUGAAAAUAAGGGGAUAAGUGAUAUUUUUAAAAAUUUAAAGGUGUUAAAUAAAAUUAUAAAAAAUCUCAAGGAGAUUUCUUAAAUUAUCCCCAACAUAAAAACAAGAGGUGUAGGGUUUGUGGAAUGGAUUGUGGUUUUUGUUGGGUUGAAAAAAAAGGUGAAGGUAGUCUUUGUAAUCUGUUUGGAUGGAAGGAAAAGAAAGAAGAAGAAAGGAUUUGGAGAAAAAAAUUUGAAAAUCAUAAGUUUGGGAGUUUUUAAACGGGAGAAUGAAAAGGAAAAUAAUGGAAAUGAAAGGAUUCUUUUCCUUUUAAAACACCUACUAACUUUUUCGACCAAAAGUGGGAUGAAAUGGAAGGAAAACUCAACCACUUUUGCAACUAAAAAUUAAAUAUCAUAUUUGCCUUCAAAUAUUAUUUAAAAACAUAAAAAGGAUAGGCACUUUAACAAAAUAGCAACAUUAGUAAUGUUUCCUUUCCAAAACUCCCAAACACGGGAUAAUUUCAGAAACCUUCCCUGAGAUUUGUGACUAUUUCACUCGCAUCCCUACAAAUUUUAAAAAUUACACUAAUCUCUCUUAAGAUUAAUUACAUUGUAACAUUUAGGCCUAAUCGAUAAUUAAAAAGUGAUAUUGGGAGAGAGAAAAUAAUAUGAUUUCAUCAUUACUCCUCAUCUACUACAUUAUUUAAUUAAUUUAAUCCUAACCCACACAUUAAAAAAAGCACUAAAAUUUGUUAUUUAUCAUUAGAGACUAAAUCACAUAUAGUAUCAAAAAAUAACAUAUCAUUUUAUAUUUUUCACUUAAUACAAGAUCAAAAUUACACUUUUUAGUUACAUAUUUAUUGUCAAACAUGAUCAACAAUAAAUAAUCAAAAAAUUUGCAACCAAAAUAUUACAGAGAAUAAACUUUAACAUCAUAAAUAUUCUUGUCAAUAUAAUAAAGUUAGUUGCUGAAAUUUUUAUGGUAUUGAACUUCGCAUUUUGUAAUAUUUUGGUUACAAAUUUUUUUGAUUAUUUGCAAUUGAUUAUGUAUGAUAUUGGUUUUGUGACUAAAAAGAGCAAUUUAUAUCUUACAUUAAUUAAAAUAUAUAUAAUGAUAUAUUAUUUUUGAUACCAUAUGUGAUUUGAUUUCUGAUGAUAAACCUUAAAUUCUAAUAUUUUUUUGUUAAUGUUUGGACGAGUAUUAGAUUAAUUAAAUAAUUUGGAAAAUUAGGGGCAAUGGUGAAAUCAUAUUAUUUUCUCUCUUCUAUAUCAUUUUUUAAUUGUUGAUUGGACGUAAAUGUUACAAGAUGAUAAAUCUCAAGAGAGAUUAAUGUAGUUUUUAAAAUCUAAAAAGAGACCAGUAAAAUAAUCAGAAACUUUAAAGGAGGUUUCUGAAAUUAUCCCCAAACAACUAGGGUUCUCUUCAAUUCUUUUCUUUGCUUUUCAUUUUUAAUUAACCUUUCUAAUCUUUUCUUUUCUAUCCUCAACUUCCAGAGGCUUUGUUUGGGAGCUGAGAAUUUGGUCCAGAAUGUUUGGAUAGAAUAUUAUUUGGAAUAAUUACUGUAUUACUUUUUUUGAUGUGAUGUAUAUGAGAUAAAAAUGUUAUUGAAAAUAUAAAAAGAUGGGUUGAAAAAUGUGUUUAUAAUGCAAAUAAAAUAUUAUUUGAAAUAAUCUGCUAUCCAAACACUUCCUUAGUUUUCCUUUUUUUUGUUAGUUUUUAGUAAAAAAAGAAAAGAAAGGAAAUGGGAGAAUUUCGAAGGAUAAAAAGUAGCCAAAAUUUUUCCUUCCAAAUUGGACGAAAAUGAAAAGAAAUUUUGAGGAAACUUGUCAAAUUUUUUGAAAAUGCCCAUUUUAUCCUUAAAAUGGUUUUGAAUAAAUAUUUAAUGACUUUCAUAUCCAAAAUCAUUUUACUAAUUCUAAAAACUCCCAAAUAAUAUAAGGAAAAUUUGCCAAUUUGGUCCCUAGCAUUUUCACAAAAAAAACUUUUUUAGUCCCCAACAUUUAAAAUCAUCCAGAAUCGUUCCUAACAUAUAAAUUAUGAUCCAUUUUGAUCCAAAUGCUCGUAUUUACUCAUUUUUCCGACUGAAAAUAGCACGUCUCUCUCACGUGGGCAUAUUUUUAAGAGUAAAAUCAAAAAACAGCACUUCAUUUCCGAUUGAAAACAAAAGUAUCUCUUUUCACCUUUCCCCCUAAAACUACAGUUACAUAAAACUGUGCCGCCACCGCACACCCCCUGCUGCCUCUCCCGUCAUCUGUAAUCAUAUCACCCCCUCCUCCCCUACAAGCAUCACCUUCCUCUCCCUUUGGCACAGCACCUCCCUCUCCAACUCUUUCACCUUCUCCUCCUCUACCAAUUGUAGUUUCAUCACUAUCUAUCUCAGUUUCUCCACCUCAUCCCACUAUAGAGUCACAACUCACCACCCAUCCCUCUCCUGCAUUACCUCCUGUAUCGCCACUUGCUUCUUCCCAAGUUCCAUCCUUGUUAAAUCCCCCUUCCACUUUCGAUUGCAUCUCCUCUUUUCAUCACCACAUCUCUUAUUCCACAUUCUCUCCCUGCCUCCCGGAAUAAUACAUCCCAAACUGAUGCUCCAAUUAGCUCAGCCUUACUAGCAAUUGUCCCUGAGAAACCCACUACAAGAUCAACUACAUCUGCUCCAAAUAUUAAUGCAAUCACAAUAUCCAGAAAUGGUGGGGGCAUGAAGGGCAAAGUUGUUAUGGCUAGGGCUGCAAACGAAUCGAGCCGCUCGCGAGCGGCUCGAGUCAAGCUCGAGUUGAGCUCGAUUAAUAUCGAGCUCGAGCCGGCUCGAGUCAAACUCGAGCUCGAACUCGAGCUCAGAAUAUUAAGCUCGUUAGCUUGCGAGCCUUGAGUAUAUAUAUAUAUAUAUAUAUAUAUAUUUUAUUUUUUUUAUUUAAUAAUAAAAUUACGUAUAUUAUAUAUAUUUUUUUUAUUUCAUAGUAAAAUUACGUAUAUAUCCUUAAUAUUUUAUUAUUUAUUAACAAAAAAAAUAUUAUUUUAUUAUUUAUUAACAAAAAAUAUUAUUUUAUUUAUUUUUUAAUAAAUAAAAUAAUUUUUUUUUAUUUUUUCGAGCGUUUGAGUCGAGCUCGAGUUCGAAAUUGCCGGCUCGUCGAGUUCGAGCUUGGUAAAAUUCAGUCGAGACUCGACUCGAUUAGCUCAAAACUCGACUCGACUCGUUUGCAGCCCUAGUUAUGGCAAUUGAAUUUGUGGGCUUUGUAGCAAUUGGUCUUGUGGUGCUUGGUGUUUGGUUGGCACGAAAGCAAAAGAAAAAAGGGCCCUAUUCAACAUUAGGUAUAUAAUACCUUCUCCAUAUGCUUCCUCCCAAAAUUCAGGGAGAAAACUAGAGUUUUUUAUGACUGUAAUUUUAGGAAAAAAAGUGAAAAAGGUUACUUUUACUUUCAAUCGAGAAUGAAGUGUGUUUCCCGAUUUUGCCCUUAAAAAUAUGCUCACGUGAGAGAAGCGUGCUAUUUUCAGUCAGAGAAAUGAGCAAAUAAGAGCAUUAAGACCAAAAUGGAUCAUAAUUUAUAUGUUAGGGAUGAUUCUGAUUGAUUUUAAAUAUUGGGUACUAAAAAAGUUUUUUGUGAAAAUAUUAGGAACCAAUUUGGCAAAUUUCUCAUAACAUGAGUCUUUCCUUCCUAUUCUUCCUAUUCUCUUCUCGUCUCUCGUAACUUGAGUCUUUCCUUCUCUUCUUUUUCUAUCCUAAACUCCCAAACUAAGCCUAGGGUUUUUGGCGCCGUCGUUCUCCAAACUCCUCGGCAAAGAAAAAUGGUAAGGCGGUUCUUCGCCACCGAGUUAUUUCUGUGUCAUCGAUGAUGAUUGUUGCUGAUACACAUAUAUGCAGAUGUUGGAUUCUAAUUUCCAAUCUUUCGUUUGGUUUUGAAAAAACCGAUACUUCACUGACAUUUUGAUUUCUUUGUGUUGUCAUUGAUGGAUGAUUUUUUUUGUUUCGAAGGCUCCAAAGAGAGGUGCGAGGGCUCCAGCUGCAGUGGCGAGGAGGAAAACCGAGAAGGUGGCGAAUCCUCUGUUCGAGAAGCGUCCGAAGCAGUUCGGAAUUGGAGGAGCCCUCCCACCGAAGAAGGAUCUCACCAGGUUCGUCAAAUGGCCUCUCAAUGUCCGGAUCCAGAGGAAGAAGAGGAUCCUCAGGCAGCGCUUGAAGGUUCCUCCGGCGCUCAACCAGUUCUCCAAGACUCUCGACAAAAAUCUUGGUCACCUCUCUCUCCCUCACUCGCUUUUUAUUUAUUAUGUUGUUUCCCUUUUUUCUUAAUGUUAUAAGAUGGUUUUUAUCGGGACUCUGAGUUCUUCACCUUGAUUGCACCAUCUUGACAACCCUGGUCUGGUAUUUUACUGCUAUAAAGAAAUAUCCAGUUAUGUUCUUGACAUAAAUCUGUGCUCUCUCGCAUAUUGAUCACCUAUUGCAUUUGUAAUCCUACUUCAAAUGCAUACUCAUUCGUAUCCUCUUUCCCCUGAUGAUUGUGUAGAAUAGGAUCCCAUUCCUUUUUCCCUGAUCAUUAUUGGUUGAGCAGGGCAAACGGUGUUGCUGUAACUAAAUAGGAAACGAAAUCUUUACGUAAAUUUAAAAAUCAUUCUUUUAUGGUUCCUAGCCAACUGGAUAUGCCAGAUGUGAUAAAUAGAAAGAAAUUGAGGUUGCUCGGAUCAUAAUAUUUGUACAUGGUAACUGUAGUUUGUCUUCCCCUAUAAUCUCUUGGAUUACUAGAAACUGAGUCGUAGUGUUUUGCGCUAUCUGUUGUCAUGAAAUUGGUAAAAGCUAAUAAGUUGCCUUGGUAGAUUUAAGGGAGUCUCUAAUUGUGUCCCUAUCUUAUUAAUACCAGUCAAGGAGAUAUCUUGUUUCCUUUUGGGGUUGCCAUUUCGCUGCUUCGUUUUUUCUCUUGCCAAUGUAUGUAUUCUCUGAUGCUUCCUUUGAUAUACAGCAACAAAUCUGUUCAAGAUGCUUCUCAAGUACAGGCCUGAGGACAAGGCAGCCAAAAAAGAGCGUCUUCUCAAGAGAGCUCAAGCUGAGGCUGAAGGGAAAGCUUCUGAUGCUAAGAAGCCAAUUGUUGUCAAAUACGGUUUAAAGCAUGUGACGUACCUUGUUGAGCAGGUCUUUAUCCUACUUUUCUUCUAUACUCUGUUGGUUUUCUGUAGUGUCUCACUCUUGGUAGUGCAAGCUGUGGCUCAUAGAAAUUAUUUUCUGCAGAACAAGGCACAAUUGGUGGUUAUUGCUCACGAUGUGGACCCAAUUGAGUUGGUUGUUUGGCUACCUGCUUUGUGCAGAAAGAUGGAAAUUCCCUAUUGUAUUGUGAAGGGAAAAUCGCGAUUGGGAGCGGUAAGUUUCCCUCUUUGUGGAGCCUUUUUGGAAGCUUUUAUUGUAGCCAGGACUGAUGUAAUUCACACUCUCUCGCAGAUUGUUCAUAAGAAAACUGCAUCAGUCUUGUGCCUGACCUCAGUGAAGAAUGAAGAUAAGUUGGAGUUCUCGAAAAUUUUGGAGGCCAUUAAGGUGAUGCAUAAUUUCGUAGGGGUUGUACAAGUAAUGAUAUUUCCUUGCCUUAAAAACUCAUCUGACAUUAUGAUUUCUCCUGACAGGCUAACUUCAACGAUAAGUAUGAGGAGUACAGGAAAAAGUGGGGUGGUGGAGUCAUGGGGUCCAAAUCUCAAGCAAAAACCAAGGCGAAGGAGAAGCUUCUUCAAAAGGAAGCCGCUCAGAGGAUGUCUUAGAAAGAGCGAUUUUCCUUGUCCUGAUUUUUAUUUGCGGCUUUAGAUUUUUUGCUUCUGACAUACAUGUGUAUUUUUGGUAGACAUUUAUUUGGCAUGUUUGAUUAUCAAAGCUUCUGCAAUAGUUAAAUUUUGUGUUGACUGCUUGCUUUAUGAAUGGUAGUUGUUUCCAUAAAUGAUGUUGGCCGAGUUUAUAAUUGGCAUUGAGCGCGGUUUGGUUGGUCAUAUUUGGUCCGCUUGACUGGUGAGAAAAAACUGUGUGUUAAGUAUCUGAGGACUAAUUGGGUAUGUCUACUACCGCCGGCUGCUCUGAUAUCAAGAUUCCCCGCCCUUAACAUUCCCUUGUUGCAACUAGUCUUCCGUUCUUGCCUGUCACUGAGCUGAAUUUCGCAAGAUCGUGUCGUCCUCUCUGCUAUGUAUAGUGACUUUAAUUGUUUGUCAAUAAUCGCCUUAAGGUCAAUGCGAGUGGAGACUGCUGAUGCUACCAUUCCAAGGAUAAGCUCUAGCAUGCAAAAUGGAUCAACUUAGGACGCUCUUAGGGUUGAAAUCACAUGUUUAAAGUAAUACCAAGGCUACUAAGGAAGUUAAAUCCCAUUUUCAAAGUUUGUAAAGAUUAGAUUACGCAGAAAGAGCUGAUUAAUACCAGAUACUCGUAUUACCCUUUGUGAGGAGAUAUAGAUCAUGUUCAAUCUCUCUAGUUGGCUCAGCAUGAAGAUUUUAAAAAAUAAGAGAUUAAGCAGGGGACACAGCCGAAGUUUUAGCCUCAGUUUCAGCACUGGUCAUUGUGCAUAUUUACAUGACAAUAGCGAGACAUAUAUACACAAACCUACUCAGCUAUUAUUACAGAUUAAACAAUUUACGUUUCACUUUAUUCUUCACAAAAUCUAGAGCUACUUGGAUACAAGCCAAAUUAAAUGCCAGUUCUCGCUUUUCUUUCUGCUUGGCCUGGUGCUAGUUGGAAAAAAAAAAGAAAGGAAUAAAUGGCAGAGAUAACUCUUUAG